Molecule: unclassified non-coding RNA, 200 nt
Filed under: soil metagenome
Description: partial contains internal transcribed spacer 2 and large subunit ribosomal RNA
Source: RNAcentral
CGCUCACCUUAAAAACAUGUUACUUGAUCAUACCUAAAGAACUGGUUUGACUCGGCGUUAUAAGUUAUUUCGCUGAGGACACUCGCAAGGGUGGCCGUUUGGAAGGCGUGGUCUUGCCCUAUAGUGCGCCACACGUAGACGGGGCUACAAUUCAUUUGACAUCUGGCCUCAAAUCAGGUAGGACUACCCGCUGAACUUAA